GCCGAACCCUCGCGCCGUCCUUACCACAUCCAAGUCGAACGGAAAGCCCCAGCUUUUGUGGGGUGCUCCCUUUCCGCCCCGGUGUGCAACCCGUGGGUACCCUGCCCUUGCCUUUGGCCUCCCCUCAGUAACCUCGGGUUAAUACCCGAUAGGAGCUCCUGCUGAUUGGUGGGCCUUGGAACCUUUCGUCGGUUGGGGAUGGCCUCUCGCCUUAUCCGCUUGUUGGUGGGGUAGUGGCUUCCCAAGGCUUUGCCGGGUAGCCGGCCAGAGCGGGUGACCGGCCACAUUGGGACUGAGAUACGGCCCAGACGCCUACGGGAGGCAGCAGUGGGGAAUAUUGCACGAUGGGCGGAAGCCGGAUGCAGCGACGCCGCGUGCGGGAUGACGGCCUGCGGGUUGUAAACCGCUUUCACCUGGGACGAAGCGACAGUGACGGUAAUUGGAAAAGAAGCACCGGCUAACUACGUG
RNAcentral lists this ribosomal RNA (468 nucleotides) under uncultured bacterium. Its description in RNAcentral is "partial 16S ribosomal RNA". It matches the Rfam family "Bacterial small subunit ribosomal RNA", at positions 30 to 507 of the family's 1533-position model. The record is from RNAcentral.